UGAGCAAUCUGCCCUUCUCUUCGGAAUAAGCGUUGGAAACGACGUCUAAUGCCGAAUACGACCUCCUUUCGCAUGAUCGGAGGUGGAAAGCUCCGGCGGAGAAGGAUGAGCUCGCGGCCUAUCAGCUAGUUGGUGUGGGUAAUGGCCCACCAAGGCGACGACGGGUAGCCGGCCUGAGAGGGUGACCGGCCACACUGGGACUGAGAUACGGCCCAGACUCCGUACGGGAGNAGCG
RNAcentral lists this ribosomal RNA (235 nucleotides) under uncultured bacterium. Its description in RNAcentral is "partial 16S ribosomal RNA". It matches the Rfam family "Bacterial small subunit ribosomal RNA", at positions 118 to 347 of the family's 1533-position model. The record is from RNAcentral.